Non-coding RNA from Salvia hispanica, 528 nucleotides. NCBI's taxonomy places the organism in Eukaryota, Viridiplantae, Streptophyta, Magnoliopsida, Lamiales, Lamiaceae. The record is from RefSeq and is a predicted model, not a curated record.
UCUGUACACAUACAUGAUACAUAUAUUCAUCUUCAUUCAUUCCAAACUGCAAAGCAACCAGUCAACCUCUUUCUCUCAUUAUCUAUUAGGGGAGGAAGAGCAGCGGCGGCAUCCAUAUAGACAUCAACACUCAUCCAUGGCAACUGAGAAUCUGACUAUAAUGACAUUAAAUGUUGAUCUCCACUGCCCAUACUGCUACAAGAAGCUAAGGAAAAUUCUUUGCCAUAUUCCCCAAGUUAUAGAUCGAGUGUAUGAUAUGAACGCAAAUCAAGUGAUGAUCACGGUCGCAAGCUGCAAUCCAGAGAAAAUUCGUGACAAAUUGUGUAGCAAGGGUCGUAAAGUUAUAAAAAGUAUCAUCAUGUAGUAGAUCUGAUCCUAAAGAGGAAGAUCAAAUCUUUCCACUACCAACUUUAUCAUCUCAAAAGGUCUAUUCCUUCAAUUCCAACUAUGUUUCAUUUUUUCAUUUCAUACAUGUUGCUUGUAUUUACUGUGUAUUUAACCUUUGUAUAUACUUUGCUUGAGUUCUGA